CUCAGUGUAACAACAUACUACUUGUCUUGAGUAAAAAGAAAUUUCUUUCUUUCUCCCGGGAGGAAAAGGUUAAAAAACUUAUCUUCCUAGUCUUUUUUUGGCAUUUUUUUCUUCUGGUACAUUUUUUCCUCGCUGUUCAACUUGUAGGAGUCAUUAAUAUAUCCCUGCUUCUUAAUAUCUAUCAAAAUAUGUAAAAAACCAUUUUGCACGAACUUUAUCUCUUCUCGAUCGGUCAUAGUUUUCCAGAAGCCCUCUCACAGAAUAGACGACCAGUUGUCAACAUUUACAAAAAGGGAAAGUCUCACCUCGACCUAUUUUGCUGGAAGCUGAGGCUCUUUUUCAGCUUAACACUGGCAUUCGAAAGCGAUUUGGGAACGGUAACGGCGCUAUCGGGGCUUUGUGUGGAUGGGGUGUGCUGGUCCGUCAUCUCAGACACUAUACUUUUCCUGUGAAGUCGCUCCUCUCUCGUCGCUUCGUUUAAUCUCCUAUAAUAUUCCAGCGCUUCGCGAACCGGUUGAACAAUGAGAUCCUGAAAUAAGCCAAGUUGAAAACUCCCCAAAAAUGAGGCAGCGUGAAAGCUAACUUGUAACUCAGUAAGUAAGUCUCCCAACGCUUCGAACAAUGGGAGGAGGACGAAGCCGAUAAAUGAACACUGAGACGAGGGUUUCGUUAUUUUCUCCCUGUCCAUGAACGGGGUGACAGGUAACCCUUCCAGCUUCUCGGCGUCGCUUUGUUUGAAGAAUUCUUGCAGGAGUCUAUCGAGCCAAGGUUCCGCCACGUCCAUCGGCCGCGCUUCGUUCGAUAUAUCCGACACUUUGAUAAGGACCAUACAAAGCUGAAACACCGGUAUCAAUACAAGGGGACUUUUCGCACCACGGGCGGCUCGUGAACUGUCCCUGUCUUAGAAUUUUUUGACUUUUGAAACUUUUGAAUUCAAAUCCAUUCAAUGCAAAUCAAUUAAUACUGGACUACAAGAUAUAUCUUUUUUUAUUAUGUGUUAUUAUUGUACGUUUAAAGCUUCUGAAUUGAAAUAUAGUAACAACUAUGUACUCACCGAUCACAUAAAUUUAUUUGUAAUAGGUUGGUUUUAUUUAAAGCUGUAACUGUAAAAUUUAUAAACACUAUACAAACAAACUUUAUGAUUCUUUCCAAAACACUAAAAAAAUUAGUUGCAUAUUAAUAACAUAUCUCAACCGACAAAAAUCUGCAUCAUUGCUUCUGACAACCCGAAUAAUUAACAAAAUUAGGAGGAAAUAGUUAGAACACAUUUUGAUAAGUUAAACUAUACAAAAACAAACAACAAACAUAGAGAGUAGAAAAAAUAGUAUAUUACACUAGUUUUAUAAAACUUAAUUGUGGCACUCAUUCCAUUGGAGCACGACGAAGGAAUCAUUCGUGCCACAAUAGAAUGUCUUAUAAAACUAUUCUAUGCUAGCUAUCAAUUUGGAUUUUUUUAAACGACAGGUCUUACAACAAGGCACAAAUAAUAAAUAUUAUACAAUAAGUGAAUUAAACCAUUGUUUAUUUUAUACCACGAGCGCAAGCGAGUGGAUUAAUUCUUCGAGCAAAUUAAUAGGUUUAAUUCACGUGUCGUAUAUAUUUUUUUAUUCAAUUUUGACCAAAAUUUACCAAAAAAUGCAAGAAAAUGUUAAAAUUAAACGUUCGGUCUAUACAAAUCAUAUCACAUGCGAAUCAAAUUUCCAUAACAACGAGUUGUUUAUUUAUUUGCGAAAGUGCGAGAAUUGUAACGAGUAUGGAAAAAAUGGCUAGAAUCAGCGAUUUUAAAGAGGAAAACCAGGUUUUCGUGCCUGAAUUGGUCAUUCAAGAAGCUUCAGAAGCUAUAAAUAAAGUGGUGCCGGCAAAAUCUAAACAAUUAUACGAAAAAGAGUAUUCAAAUUUUUGUGAAUGGAGGAAGCGGAAACGAGCUGUUUAUUUAUUUGCAAAAGUGCGAGAAUUGUAACGCGUAUGGAAAAAAUGGCUAGAAUCAGCGAUUUUAAAGAGGAAAACCAGGUUUUCGUGCCUGAAUUGGUCAUUCAAGAAGCUUCAGAAGCUAUAAAUAAAGUGGUGCCAGCAAAAUCUAAACAAUUAUACGAAAAAGAAUAUUCAAAUUUUUGUGAAUGGAGGAAGCGGAAGGAUGCAAAGGGAGUAGACGAGAGAAUAAUUUUGGCUUAUAUUUCUGAACGAUCCAAAAAUGCUAAAUCUUCGUCAUUGUGGGCGUAUUAUUCCCAACUGAAGAAAAUGUUAUCUGUUAAAGAAAAUAUCGAUAUAAGCAGAUUUCAUCAGGUAUCUGCUUUCUUAAAACAACACUCUGUAGGGCACAGACCAGUCUUCAGCUUCGAAUAAAUGGAAAAGUUUUUAGACACUGCUUCAGAUGAUGAAUAUUUGCUGCAAAAAGUGGUUCUAAUUGUGGGAGUUUUUGGAGGCUGUAGAAUUGGAGAAUUAGUUGCCAUGUCAGUUGAUGACGUCGAUGAUCGAGGCAACGUAAUUGUGGUCAAUAUUCCUGACACGAAGACUUAUAAGCCAAGAACAUUUACUAUCAUCAAUGGAAGUAACUCUAUUCCUGCCAUUGACGUUUUUCGCAAGUACAGAAAACUACGACCCGAGAGUGUUUUACACAAACGGUUACUACUAUUUCAAAAUUUCCCGAAAAAAUUGCACGAUUUCUUUGUCUUCCAAAUCCAGAAGAAUAUACUGGACAUAGCUUUAGACGUUCAAGUGCAACUUUACUGGCAGACUCUGGAACCGAUUUAGCAGUGGUAAAGAGACACGGAGGAUGGCGUUCAAAUAGCGUUGUGGAAGGAUAUAUGGAAGAUUCCCUUAAUAAUAAAAUUGAAAUUUCAAGGAAAAUCAUAAACCAUUCUUCAACAAUCAUUCAGAAGGAAUCCACUUCAAAUUCGGAAGCACGUACUUCCGCGUCAUCAACAUCACAUGAAUAAAUCACUACUUAUGCGUGUUACUAUGGAAUCAAUAAUGUCACUUUAUAAUGUCAAAAUUGAAUAAAAAUAAUUU
RNA transcript from Tribolium castaneum (red flour beetle), 3009 nucleotides. RefSeq lists it as uncharacterized. The transcript has 3 exons. Lineage: Eukaryota; Metazoa; Arthropoda; Insecta; Coleoptera; Tenebrionidae. The record is from RefSeq and is a predicted model, not a curated record.